CAAGAUCGUCAUGAUACAGUACGUUUAAAAGGCGGACGUAAGCUGUCGACUAUGGGAUCGGCCCGCGGUGCAUUAGCUAGUUGGUAAGGUAAAGGCUUACCAAGGCGAUGAUGCAUAGCCCGAGUUGAGAGACUGAUCGGGCCACAUUGGGGACUGAGACACGGGGCCCAAACUCCUACGGGGGGAGGGGCAGCAGUAGGGGGAAUCUUCCACAAUGGACGCAAGUCUGAUGGAGCAACGCCGCGUGAGUGAAGUAAGGUUUUCGGAUACGUAAAGCUCUGUUGUUGGUGAAGAAGGAUAGAGGUAGUAACUGGCCUUUAUUUGACGGUAAUCAACCAGAAAGUCACGGCUAACUACGUGCCAGCAGCCGCGGUAAU
RNAcentral lists this ribosomal RNA (377 nucleotides) under uncultured Lactobacillales bacterium. RNAcentral's name for it is "bacterial SSU rRNA". It matches the Rfam family "Bacterial small subunit ribosomal RNA", at positions 173 to 524 of the family's 1533-position model. Lineage: Bacteria; Bacillati; Bacillota; Bacilli; Lactobacillales. The record is from RNAcentral.